GACGAAUGCUGGCGGCGUGCUUAACACAUGCAAGUCGAACGGAAAGGCCCUGCUUUUGUGGGGUGCUCGAGUGGCGAACGGGUGAGUAACACGUGAGUAACCUGCCCUUGACUUUGGGAUAACUUCAGGAAACUGGGGCUAAUACCGGAUAGGAGCUCCUGCUGCAUGGUGGGGGUUGGAAAGUUUCGGCGGUUGGGGAUGGACUCGCGGCUUAUCAGCUUGUUGGUGGGGUAGUGGCUUACCAAGGCUUUGACGGGUAGCCGGCCUGAGAGGGUGACCGGCCACAUUGGGACUGAGAUACGGCCCAGACUCCUACGGGAGGCAGCAGUGGGGAAUAUUGCACAAUGGGCGGAAGCCUGAUGCAGCAACGCCGCGUGCGGGAUGACGGCCUUCGGGUUGUAAACCGCUUUCGCCUGCGACGAAGCGUGAGUGACGGUAAUGGGUAAAGAAGCACCGGCUAACUACGUG
This 468-nucleotide ribosomal RNA is filed under the name uncultured bacterium. Its description in RNAcentral is "partial 16S ribosomal RNA". It matches the Rfam family "Bacterial small subunit ribosomal RNA", at positions 28 to 507 of the family's 1533-position model. The record is from RNAcentral.